UCAUGUCAACCCUGACAGGAACCCCGUCCUCCUCAGGACCAGCACUUUGGCUUCAGGACAUAUGGGGCUGCGUCUAUGCUGACAGGAGCCCACAGCCCCCUCAGGACCCACGGUGAGUUUUCUGGGGGCCAUGGGGCCAUGUCCAGGCUGACAGGAGCCCCCGGCUUCCUGAGGACCUGCUGUGACGCUUUAGAGAAUGUGAGACAUAGUCCACAGUGACAGGAGACCCGGCGUCCUCAGGACCCGCUGACUAUGACUCAGGAACACGUUGGGCCAUGUCCACACUCACAGGAGCCCGGCUUGCUUGGACCCCCUGGAGGACUCUGGAGGAGCCGUUGGGGGCCACGUCUACAUCAGAAGGGACUCCUCAGAACCACAUGCUCAGUCACUCAUCAGGAAAUGCAUCUUUAUGGAUUUGGAAAGAACUGAGAGACAUUAUUACCAAUGGUCCUAUUAUUAUGUGAAGGAUUCUUCCCUGAGAUUCUUCCCCUGUUUCAACUGACACUGAAACACUGUGAACUCUUUGGAAGACAAAUGUCAGGGAAAUAAAUGUUAUGCAUUGAUAAUUUUAAAUGCACUAGCAAUAUGGUGUCUAUUAUACUAGAAUUAUUUUUAUCUGAUUUUUGCUAUUUAUUAUCCGUUCCUCCUUUUCAGGUUGAGGAGGCAUUAUACGUGUUCAUAAAUGUUUUUCUUUCCUUCUGAUAUAAAAUUCUUUGUUCCCAUCAAAGGAAUUCUUUAAGAAUAAGGCAAAAGUUAAUUCAACGAUUCUUAAAAUGUCUUCACACUUGGAGCCUGAUUCAUUUUAGUCAAUUUUCAAAAUAAAUCUUAUUUAUUAGGAAAAAAAACAAAGAUUUAUAGGGAAAUUGAGAAACUAGUACAGAGAAUUCUCAUGCACUUGCACUCAAUUUCUCCAAUUAUUGAUAUCUUAUAUCAGUACGGUACAAAUAUUAGCUAAUGAAUCAAUAUUAAAAUAUUCGCAAUAACCAAAGACCAUACUUUAUUCAGAUUUCCUUAGUUUUUGCUAAGUCACCACCCCUCAUAUGACAUUCCAUUUGUCCUCCUGUUUUCUUAGGCUCCUCUGGAUUGUGACAGUCUUUCAGCCUUUCCUUGUUUUUGUUGAACUGGAACACUUUGAGAAGUAGAGUAUUUUGUAAAAUUUCCCUCAGUUGGGACAUGUCUGUUGUUUAUCUCAUGAUUGAACUGUUUUUGUGGCUUAUAUACAGAGAUAUACUGCCAUUUUCAUUAUAUCAUAUAAAGGAUAGAUACUAUCAACAUGAUUUAUCAGUCUUGGCAUCGUUCUGGUCAUCUUGCUGAAGUAGGGUUUGUCAGCUUUCUCCGUAGUAAACUGAUUCUUUUAUUAUUAUUAUUAUUAUUAU
Molecule: long non-coding RNA, 1376 nt
Filed under: Canis lupus familiaris (dog)
Lineage: Eukaryota; Metazoa; Chordata; Mammalia; Carnivora; Canidae
Description: lncRNA (ENSCAFG00000056592.1)
Source: RNAcentral